Myotis lucifugus (little brown bat) is the source of this 306-nucleotide long non-coding RNA. RefSeq lists it as uncharacterized. The transcript has 3 exons. Lineage: Eukaryota; Metazoa; Chordata; Mammalia; Chiroptera; Vespertilionidae. The record is from RefSeq and is a predicted model, not a curated record.
GGGCACAUCACAUGAGCUUUCUCUCGCUUUGAACUGAUUCUGUAUCUUCGGUUUAUUCUUGCCUUUCUGCUCUGCCAAGUAUCAAAGGCUGUGUUUCAACAAGUCUUGAAAGCUUGGAGAGGCAGAAUAAUGGCCCCCAAAGCUGUUCCCAUCCUAAUCCCCGGAACCUGUGAAGAUGGGUGGUGGCAACGGGGGGAUUAAGGUUGCAGGUGGAAUGAAGGUUGCUGAUCAACUGACUUAAGACAAGGAAAUGAAUCUGGAUUAUCCAGGUGCUGCUCCUCAAGCAGGGACUUUGGCCACCACGAG